ACUCUUCAUGGCUCAAUUUCGGCUCCCGGAGCUGGUUCUACCAGGGCCCCAGCACCGGUCCAGAGAGGAGGCCCCGGGUCCGCGCGUCUGGUUGUGUCGGGCGGUGCUCUCUGUCCUUCUCACUCCCCAGCCCUCCCUUCCAUUUCUCGGUUACCUGCGCGGCUGCAGGCGCCGCCGGGGACUGCACAGGUAAAAGUCUCGGCAAGUGAGGGCGCAGGUGUGGGCGCCUCCUGGGCCAGGCGGGCAGGGGAGAGGCCGACGGCACGUGCCUGGCUCUAAAAAGAUUUUUUUUUUUUAACAGGGAUUGUAUUGACAGUGGGGGCUUGGGGAGGGCAGACACGGACCCUGGGAGCGCUGCAGGGCACUGGGGGGAGAGAGGGGCGGGACUGAAGCCCCGGAGAUUGGGGGCCGGUUCCUUUACGGCCCCGCAGCUUGCGCAGGCUCCGUGGUGCCUGGGAGGUGGUGCGCCGGUUGGGUGGGGGCGGGUCCAGGCCGCGGCGUCGGAGAAUUGUCCCCCAUCCAGUCCCCGCGAUGACUGGGUUUUGACAGCCUCCCCUCCCGAGCGCGCACAUUCCCAGGUUUGCAGAAUGAAAAUCAAUAAAAUCGAUGCAGUGGCAAAGAA
This 622-nucleotide long non-coding RNA is filed under the name Homo sapiens (human). RNAcentral's name for it is "non-protein coding lnc-ZNF503-10:3". Lineage: Eukaryota; Metazoa; Chordata; Mammalia; Primates; Hominidae. The record is from RNAcentral.